UACGGAGGGGGCUAGCGUUGUUCGGAAUUACUGGGCGUAAAGCGCACGUAGGCGGACCAGUCAGUUAGGGGUGAAAGCCCAGGGCUCAACCCUGGAACUGCCCUUAAUACUGCUGGUCUAGAGGUCGAGAGAGGUGAGUGGAAUUCCGAGUGUAGAGGUGAAAUUCGUAGAUAUUCGGAGGAACACCAGUGGCGAAGGCGGCUCACUGGCUCGAUUCUGACGCUGAGGUGCGAAAGCGUGGGGAGCAAACAGG
RNAcentral lists this ribosomal RNA (253 nucleotides) under uncultured bacterium. RNAcentral's name for it is "partial 16S ribosomal RNA". It matches the Rfam family "Bacterial small subunit ribosomal RNA", at positions 524 to 776 of the family's 1533-position model. The record is from RNAcentral.